Molecule: ribosomal RNA, 2493 nt
Filed under: Triticum aestivum (bread wheat)
Lineage: Eukaryota; Viridiplantae; Streptophyta; Magnoliopsida; Poales; Poaceae
Description: partial small subunit ribosomal RNA
Source: RNAcentral
GGCGGAGGGGUGGAGUCGGGGGGGCCAGGGGCCGCCGAGGGGCGAGCAGGAGUGGGGGAGGGAGAGAAAGAGAGAGGGGGGCGGCGGUGGCAGCUGGGGGUGCCGACCAAGCGGCGGAAGGAGGAGAAGCGGUAGCUGCACCUGCAACCGCACGCGCGCGCCCGCCGUCUCGAACGACAGGCCGACGCACCGCGCGGGCACAACAUGACGGACUUCUCGAGAUAGGCCUCCUCAUGCUCCUCUGCGCACUAGGCGGCCGCGGCAGAAGGGAGAAGGGAGAAAGGUAGGGAGGACGAGCGGUCGCCGAGGAGGAGGGGACGGAGGAGUGCAGCGGGAGUCCAGGCUCCGUUGCUCAAACGAAGGAGACGAGGCAAGUACAGUAACUCGAAAAAGGAACCGGUAUCGUGGUGUAAACGCCGGCGUGUGGUCUCAGUUAAACCAACUGAUCGUUGUCUCGUUUCCACAGGAGGUCCAAGACGUAGUAGUCACACAUGGAGAUCUAAGACGUAGUAAUCACUCGUUGAAUGGAUUCCAAUCAAAAGAAACAUGAAUGUCGGGUGAGACGAGGGUAAAGAGAGAGUAUAAGCGUAAUUAGUCCCCGACGAUAGACACGUUAGUACUACCAAAGAAAUACGGUAGUCUGGGGUAGGACAUCACAGUAAAAGGAGAGUAGUCCAUCCUCUCAAAAUUAUCUAUAUAACUAUCGUUUGUUAUCGUAACUAUUCUUGGGCCAUAUACCACCAAAAGAAACUACUCAUAUACACUAUGUAUCUUUUACAUAUACCACCAAAGGUAAGACCAAAUGGACCCACCACGUACCUCGAAUAAAGAGAACCCAAGAAAGAUCUCAUACUUCCACAACAAUCGAUCGUGGUAAACCUCUUUCAUGUAGUACAGAACCUAGACUUCACUUCGCACAAGAAUAUAUUAAGAAACUCUUUUCCCGACAAAUAAUUCUGAUUGUUCUUAGAGGUUCGUAAAAAUCUUAACGUAAGAAGAAAUCUCUACCAUAAGAAAAAGUUAUCAAGAGACUGAGUAGACUAACCCCAAACCCAUAUGGUCACAACCAACCUCACAACCAACGUAGGAGCAACUCGAUACGAGCCAAUCUAACGAACACUACGGACAGAAAGGAGAAAAUGGAACUAUAUACCAGGAUUGGGAUUUGUAAAUAUUCCCCUCCGUAACAAAGUCUGUGUACUCUUGGACCUUGUGGAUCGUUACUACCUCUCCCAAAACCCUGGGCAUGGUCUCGUGUACUAUGCCCUCCGAUCAAAUAGUCGAGUCUUUAUAAAAUCCGCUCCCUGUGCAGAUUUAACCGGACUUCCACGACAAUGUUCUCUUUCGUAGUCUCGUCAGUCCUUUGAUGUGGCCGAUUUCGUUUAGUGGGACGGGAUGCUUGCUGGUAGCGUUCGACAAGUGAAUUGGAAGGUUUCGGUUCCAAGGACACAGCCGAAGACAGCUAUGAUCUCUUUCACGAAGUCGACUUCUACGAUAACUGGAUAUAGGUUCCGUCUACUUUGAUUCGACCUACCACUCUUGCGACUACAACACCAAUGACCUCUACUCUUCUUGCACGUCAGACUGGUUUGGAUCGGAUUCUCGUUGGCUCGGGUUAGUUGUUAAUCAUCUUCAUCAAUACUCUACUCCGUCUCCUCUCGUCUCUCCUGGCCUCUUCCUCAACGCCUGGAGUGGUUGUUCCGGCACUGGGACGUAGUGAUUUUUUUACGGGGCAUAAACAAAGAGUACGAACCCACUACCGACUGGUACCGUACAAGAAUAAUCAAGUCCAACCAGAGAGGCCAAGAAAAGCGGCUACCGAACUACAUACGUGACCGUUGGAGAAUGACCUUCCUAAGCCGUACGGAGACAAGCUCUCUACCCUAUACUUCUUUACCGCAAGACCAUAAAAUAUAGUAAACUUCGUUACUGUGAAAUAAAACCAAGUGUAAAGAAAUGUCCAACAACAUACGUCUCAAAUACUCCAACGUGACGUGGUAGUUUGAUACGAGGUACAAUUCGUUGUAGGUCUUGACGGUAAUAUAUAAAUUACAUCAUCUAACUACGUUGAAACAUUGGUAAGUACCUAAAUUUUAUCCGAAAUAUGGAGAAAUAAAACCAGCCGUACAAAACCGUGCACAGAAACAGUAACUAGCCGAUAUAUAAUUAAUGUAAACUCAUCUGACAACUGACUCUUUCGGACUUGUACAACACAAAACUAAAUACUCCUGAUUAUCUAUCAAAAGAGAGCCCAAAUAAAUAAAAGAGAGGUGUGAAAAUUAAGAUGUAUUUUCAUGUAAGAUAACAAUAAACAAAUGACUACGUUAUAUACAUGGGAAUAAACAGAGUUGAAAUAGUUAAAAUCAAACACAAAAGACGCCGCGUCUUGUGUCAAGUUCCGUCCCGACACAGUUUCUACACACGGUUUAUUAAUUCGACUAACUUUAUAGUUUGAAACCCACGUCGGAAGAACCAGGACAUAUAUACUGACCG